Molecule: long non-coding RNA, 865 nt
Organism: Biomphalaria glabrata
Lineage: Eukaryota; Metazoa; Mollusca; Gastropoda; Planorbidae
Exons: 6
Source: RefSeq, a predicted model, not a curated record
ACUUCGUACUAUCAGCUAGGCCCGCCACUGUUUCUUGAGCGGAUAGGAGCCUUUUAGCCUACUUGAUACAGAAAGACGGAAGUUGAAGGUGUUGAUGGACAUUUCUGAAUUGAUGUGCUAGGUAAAAAAAUGUGUGGGCCCUACUGUGCCUACACGUGAUGUCUCCUACACCCAAUCUUGGAUCAAGCUGAAAUUUCGCACAAUUAUUUCUUUUACCUGACAACACAAGAAGAAAAAAAAAGUAACCAAUCAGUCAAUUAAUUACUGGGGAAAGGAGAGAGAGAUGAAUGCUCCAUUAGCAGCAAACAUUUCAUAGUCACUCCGAGCUUCGAGGGACAACUACAUUGAAGAGGAAGAAUAAGUAUCACAACGCAUGAUUUGCUUAGGAUUUCAGGACUGAAGAUUUGAGAGAAGACUAAGACCCAAGACAAUGUCGACCAUUUUCUUCACAUUACUUCUGUUCGGCUUAGGUGUCAGUCAAAUGUAUAAUCGCAAACCUUCACCGUGUAGGUUCGAUUCCAGUGGUGAAGAUUGUGCCGUAAAAACUGGCGGAAGUUACUUCUGGUUUAGCUAUGCUCGUAAAUGUGAAUUCCUCAAACACUGCAACAAGAAUAACAAGGACGUUUUCAAGACUGAACAACAUUGCCGAACUACAUGUCUCCACGAGGAAGAACAAGCUAAGAAAAGGGGCUAGGCCUACUAAUAAGAUGAUUCUCAGCUAUCUGAAGAUACUCUGUGACUUAGUGUUAACAAAUGUCUAGCUUUUGCUUUGCUUAGUAGUGUACUGUUUAAUGUUUCAUUUUGUACAUUCUUUCGCUCUUUCUCUGUCUUUAUCAAAAUUAUAAUAAAAACUGCACUCAAGUUA